This 799-nucleotide ribosomal RNA is filed under the name Salmonella enterica subsp. enterica serovar Typhimurium. RNAcentral's name for it is "partial 23S ribosomal RNA". It matches the Rfam family "Bacterial large subunit ribosomal RNA", at positions 832 to 1547 of the family's 2925-position model. Lineage: Bacteria; Pseudomonadati; Pseudomonadota; Gammaproteobacteria; Enterobacterales; Enterobacteriaceae. The record is from RNAcentral.
AUCAAACCGGGAGAUAGCUGGUUCUCCCCGAAAGCUAUUUAGGUAGCGCCUCGUGAAUUCAUCUCCGGGGGUAGAGCACUGUUUCGGCUAGGGGGCCAUCCCGGCUUACCAACCCGAUGCAAACUGCGAAUACCGGAGAAUGUUAUCACGGGAGACACACGGCGGGUGCUAACGUCCGUCGUGAAGAGGGAAACAACCCAGACCGCCAGCUAAGGUCCCAAAGUCAUGGUUAAGUGGGAAACGAUGUGGGAAGGCCCAGACAGCCAGGAUGUUGGCUUAGAAGCAGCCAUCAUUUAAAGAAAGCGUAAUAGCUCACUGGUCGAGUCGGCCUGCGCGGAAGAUGUAACGGGGCUAAACCAUGCACCGAAGCUGCGGCAGCGAACGUAUCACCCAAGACAACUUUACGGAGUUGACGAUUGACGGAGCGAAGCGACGUCAAAGCGUUCAUUAAAGUCGAGUUGGCUUAGGGAUACGUUCGUUGGGUAGGGGAGCGUUCUGUAAGCCUGUGAAGGUGUGUCGUGAGGCAUGCUGGAGGUAUCAGAAGUGCGAAUGCUGACAUAAGUAACGAUAAAGCGGGUGAAAAGCCCGCUCGCCGGAAGACCAAGGGUUCCUGUCCAACGUUAAUCGGGGCAGGGUGAGUCGACCCCUAAGGCGAGGCCGAAAGGCGUAGUCGAUGGGAAACGGGUUAAUAUUCCCGUACUUGGUGUUACUGCGAAGGGGGGACGGAGAAGGCUAUGUUGGCCGGGCGACGGUUGUCCCGGUUUAAGCGUGUAGGUGUGUGUUCCAGGUAAAUCCGGUU